GAAAAAAAAAAAAAGAAGGGGGGAGAGGGACUAGCUAGGGAGGGUUGAGUGAACCCAAGAAAAGACUGAAGAGAGGGGUUUGAACCUUUGAGGGAUUCAUCAGGAACGAGGAGGGGCUAGGGAAGAAUAACUAUGAUGAUCCUUUGAUCCUUCUAAAAUAUUAUGCCCUAUUGCGCACAGACAGAGAAUGGAAUGAACCAUCCAAUCCAAUCUGAUUAUUUUUUAGCUCGUCUUUUUGAGUGUUAAGCCACUUCUUCUUCCCUUGUUCCCUUUUCAAUUAAUUACACCCAUCACCCUCCACCACCUUCCUUCUCUCUCUCUCUCUCU
Molecule: unclassified non-coding RNA, 327 nt
Filed under: Hevea brasiliensis (rubber tree)
Lineage: Eukaryota; Viridiplantae; Streptophyta; Magnoliopsida; Malpighiales; Euphorbiaceae
Source: RNAcentral